This 460-nucleotide ribosomal RNA is filed under the name uncultured bacterium. Its description in RNAcentral is "bacterial SSU rRNA". It matches the Rfam family "Bacterial small subunit ribosomal RNA", at positions 340 to 786 of the family's 1533-position model. The record is from RNAcentral.
UACGGGAGGCAGCAGUGGGGAAUAUUGCACAAUGGGCGAAAGCCUGAUGCAGCUAUGCCGCGUGUAUGAAGAAGGCCUUAGGGUUGUAAAGUACUUUCAUCGGGGAGGAAAAAACAAAACUAAUAAUUUUAUUUCUUGACGUUACCCGAAAAAGAAGCACCGGCUAACUCCGUGCCAGCAGCCGCGGUAAUACGGAGGGUGCUAGCGUUAAUCAGAAUUACUGGGCGUAAAGAGCACGUAGGUGGUUUUUUUAAGUCAGAUGUGAAAUCCCUCGGGCGUUAACCUACGGAACUGCAUUUUGUAAACUGAAAUACUAGAGUAUCGUAGAGGGAGGUAGAAUUCUAGGUGUAGCGGUGAAAUGCGUAGAUAUCUGGAGGAAUACCUGUGGCGAAAGCGGCCUCCUAAACGAAUACUGACACUGAGGUGCGAAAGCGUGGGGAGCAAACAGGGAUUAGAUACC